Small nucleolar RNA from Notechis scutatus (mainland tiger snake), 74 nucleotides. The record is from Ensembl. NCBI's taxonomy places the organism in Eukaryota, Metazoa, Chordata, Lepidosauria, Squamata, Elapidae.
CCGUGAUGAUAUAAAACCUUAUAUAUGCUGGAAUUACCGGCAGACUUUUGCUGUUGAGAUGGUUCUUUCUGAGG